CACGUAGGGCGCGAGCGUUGUCCGGAAUUAUUGGGCGUAAAGAGCUCGUAGGCGGUUUGUCGCGUCGGCUGUGAAAACCUGGGGCUCAACCCCGGGCCUGCAGCCGAUACGGGCAAACUAGAAUUCGGUAGGGGAGACUGGAAUUCCUGGUGUAGCGGUGAAAUGCGCAGAUAUCAGGAGGAACACCGGUGGCGAAGGCGGGUCUCUGGGCCGAUAUUGACGCUGAGGAGCGAAAGCGUGGGGAGCAAACAGG
Molecule: ribosomal RNA, 253 nt
Filed under: uncultured bacterium
Lineage: Bacteria
Description: partial 16S ribosomal RNA
Rfam family: Bacterial small subunit ribosomal RNA
Source: RNAcentral